This 85-nucleotide transfer RNA is filed under the name Felis catus (domestic cat). It matches the Rfam family "tRNA". From Rfam's summary of the family: Transfer RNA (tRNA) molecules are approximately 80 nucleotides in length. Their secondary structure includes four short double-helical elements and three loops (D, anti-codon, and T loops). Lineage: Eukaryota; Metazoa; Chordata; Mammalia; Carnivora; Felidae. The record is from Rfam by way of RNAcentral. RNAcentral also lists the same sequence under 1 other name.
ACCUGGGUGGCUCAGUCGGUUGAGCGUCUGACUUCGGCUCAGGUCAUGAUCUUGCGCUCUGUGAGUUUGAGUCCCGCCUUGGGCU